UACGUAGGGAGCGAGCGUUGUCCGAAGUUACUGGGCGUAAAGCGCGCGUAGGCGGGUUGUUAAGUGAGAGGUGAAAGGCUGGGGCUCAACCUCAUGCAGUGCCUCUCAUACUGGCAGUCUUGAGUGAGGUAGGGAGAAGUGGAAUGGCUGGUGUAGCGGUGAAAUGCGUAGAUAUCGUCAAGAACACCGAUAGCGAAGGCAGCUUACUAGGCUGUAACUGACGCUGAGGCACGAAAGUGUGGGGAUCAAACAGG
This 254-nucleotide ribosomal RNA is filed under the name uncultured prokaryote. Its description in RNAcentral is "partial 16S ribosomal RNA". It matches the Rfam family "Bacterial small subunit ribosomal RNA", at positions 524 to 776 of the family's 1533-position model. The record is from RNAcentral.